This 758-nucleotide ribosomal RNA is filed under the name uncultured archaeon. Its description in RNAcentral is "bacterial SSU rRNA". It matches the Rfam family "Archaeal small subunit ribosomal RNA", at positions 102 to 857 of the family's 1478-position model. The record is from RNAcentral.
GGAUAACUUACCCUUUAGGACUGGGAUAACUCUGGGAAACUGGGGAUAAUACUGGAUAUUAGGCUAUGCCUGGAAUGGUUUGCCUUUGAAAUGUUUUUUUUCGCCUAAGGAUAGGUCUGCGGCUGAUUAGGUCGUUGGUGGGGUAAUGGCCCACCAAGCCGAUGAUCGGUACGGGUUGUGAGAGCAAGGGCCCGGAGAUGGAACCUGAGACAAGGUUCCAGACCCUACGGGGUGCAGCAGGCGCGAAACCUCCGCAAUGUACGAAAGUGCGACGGGGGGAUCCCAAGUGUUAUGCUUUUUUGUAUGACUUUUCAUUAGUGUAAAAAGCUUUUAGAAUAAGAGCUGGGCAAGACCGGUGCCAGCCGCCGCGGUAACACCGGCAGCUCGAGUGGUAGCUGUUUUUAUUGGGCCUAAAGCGUUCGUAGCCGGUUUGAUAAGUCUUUGGUGAAAGCUUGUAGCUUAACUAUAAGAAUUGCUGGAGAUACUAUUAGACUUGAAGUCGGGAGAGGUUAGAGGUACUACCGGGGUAGGGGUGAAAUCCUAUAAUCCUGGGAGGACCACCUGUGGCGAAGGCGUCUAACUGGAACGAUCUUGACGGUGAGUAACGAAAGCCAGGGGCGCGAACCGGAUUAGAUACCCGGGUAGUCCCGGCCGUAAACGAUGUGGACUUGGUGUUGGAAUGGCUUUGAGUUGUUCCGGUGCCGAAGGGAAGCUGUUAAGUCCACCGCCUGGGAAGUACGGUCGCAAGACUGAAACUU